CUACGGGAGGCAGCAGUAGGGAAUAUUGGACAAUGGGCGCAAGCCUGAUCCAGCCAUGCCGCGUGAGUGACGAAGGCCUUAGGGUUGUAAAACUCUUUCGACGGGGAAGAUAAUGACGGUACCCGUAGAAGAAGCUCCGGCUAACUUCGUGCCAGCAGCCGCGGUAAUACGAAGGGAGCUAGCGUUGUUCGGAAUUACUGGGCGUAAAGCGCACGUAGGCUGACUUUUAAGUCAGGGGUGAAAUCCCGAGGCUCAACCUCGGAACUGCCUCUGAUACUGGAAGCCUUGAGUUCGGGAGAGGUGAGUGGAAUUCCUAGUGUAGAGGUGAAAUUCGUAGAUAUUAGGAAGAACACCAGUGGCGAAGGCGGCUCACUGGCCCGAUACUGACGCUGAGGUGCGAAAGCGUGGGGAGCAAACAGGAUUAGAAACCCCGGUAGUCC
This 440-nucleotide ribosomal RNA is filed under the name uncultured bacterium. RNAcentral describes it as "bacterial SSU rRNA". It matches the Rfam family "Bacterial small subunit ribosomal RNA", at positions 339 to 796 of the family's 1533-position model. The record is from RNAcentral.